RNAcentral lists this long non-coding RNA (1208 nucleotides) under Homo sapiens (human). Its description in RNAcentral is "long intergenic non-protein coding RNA 1515". The record is from RNAcentral. Lineage: Eukaryota; Metazoa; Chordata; Mammalia; Primates; Hominidae.
GGAACCUGGAAUUCAAACGGCUGGGGCCUCACUCACGGCAUAUGGAACUAACCACGCCCCUAACUAAGAAGGCACACCUUAGUUGCAGUUAGCACACAAUUAAAGCAACUCUCCAAGUUUUACCUUAAAGUUCAAAAUUGCUAGGAGUUGAAACUACUAGAAAUAUAUUUACAUGCAAGAGUCAAAGAAACUUUGAACUAUUUAUGGCCUUUAAUAAUUAAGUAAGGUAUACUCCUGUGAUCAAGACUUGGAGCAUAUUUGUUUCUCUCUGCCUGGUUCCUCUAGAAAUUGGAAACUAUCAGAACAGAGACCAACUCCGUUUCCCGAUCCCUUUGCAAUCUGCAUUGAACCAUGAGUCAAGUUCUUGAUAAAGGAGUGAAAAUGGUAAGUCUAAAGCAAUGAAAAGCUGCUGUAUUGACUACACAUGCCUUCAUUUCUUCUACCCUGCUUCUUUCAUGCCUGCUUAUCUGAAUGACACCAGGAUGACAUUUAAGGCACAUCUGAAGAUGGGGAAACCACAGCACAGAAUAAGGCUGGGCCCUUGAAUCAAUAAAUGAAGGAGAACUACUCAAGAGAACAAAACCACCAGCAAUAUCCACCUGUAUUUGUCUUUUCAUAAUGUGUGACACAUGUGCUCAUGGAUUAUUGUCCGAAGCAAGACAUGUGACCAAGCCUAACAUCAACUGGGUGAAGAGCUAUAUGUUCCUUUCUCAAGAGGCACUACAAGUGACAUGCCACUGGGCAGUGGCUGCUAUGGAAACAAGUCCUGAUGCAUGACAGAGGAGGAAAGCUAUCAGUCCUGUGGUUAAAGAGGGGACAUUUCCACUAGAUUUCCAAUUGCAUAUGGAAUCAAGAAAGAAGCAACUGGGAAUUACUUCACACAGCAAAUCUAAGGAAGAGACUGUUAAUUUGGCUUUGCCAGUUACUCCUUCUCAAGGCCCAUAAUUAAAUGUGAGUUUCUGGGCACUAAUGCAAAAGCCAGAUUUGCUCUGAGCCUGCGGGGCUUAUAAAUUGGUUGCUUUUGCAAACUGUUAUUGUUCCUUUAGGUCAAGAGGGGAAGAAUUAUUGACUUUGUUCAGUUGAAUUAAAUGCUCCCCUUGUGGUUUGAAAGAAGAAAUUUGCCUCCCUCACCCUCUAAGAUUACAUACAAAGGGAGAAUUGUUUUUGGGCAAGUUAGACUUGAUGAAAAAAUAUACAGUUCUACUGGA